Molecule: ribosomal RNA, 498 nt
Filed under: uncultured Streptococcus sp.
Lineage: Bacteria; Bacillati; Bacillota; Bacilli; Lactobacillales; Streptococcaceae
Description: bacterial SSU rRNA
Rfam family: Bacterial small subunit ribosomal RNA
Source: RNAcentral
GACGAACGCUGGCGGCGUGCCUAAUACAUGCAAGUAGAACGCUGAAGAGAGGAGCUUGCUCUUCUUGAAUGAGUUGCGAACGGGUGAGUAACGCGUAGGUAACCUGCCUUGUAGCGGGGGAUAACUAUUGGAAACGAUAGCUAAUACCGCAUAACAAUGGGUGACACAUGUCAUUUAUUUGAAAGGGGCAAUUGCUCCACUACAAGAUGGACCUGCGUUGUAUUAGCUAGUAGGUGAGGUAACGGCUCACCUAGGCGACGAUACAUAGCCGACCUGAGAGGGUGAUCGGCCACACUGGGACUGAGACACGGCCCAGACUCCUACGGGAGGCAGCAGUAGGGAAUCUUCGGCAAUGGGGGCAACCCUGACCGAGCAACGCCGCGUGAGUGAAGAAGGUUUUCGGAUCGUAAAGCCCUGUUGUAAGUCAAGAACGAGUGUGAGAGUGGAAAGUUCACACUGUGACGGUAGCUUACCAGAAAGGGACGGCUAACUACGUGC